AAGCAUUUGUAUACUUCAUUUUUAAGGAGAUAAUUUGGCCCUGCUCAGUCAUGAUCCUGGUCUGUUGAUUUAAUAUUUUUGCUUAGUUUUCAUGUUUUAGUUUGUGACUAGGUCAGUUUAUGGAGAACCACUAGUAGUAAGUUAAUGAUAAUUGGUAUGCAGUUGAAUAAGCAUUGGCAUAUCUCAUUUCAAAAGAGAUUUGUUUGCCUCGCCUC
Molecule: long non-coding RNA, 215 nt
Filed under: Mytilus galloprovincialis (Mediterranean mussel)
Lineage: Eukaryota; Metazoa; Mollusca; Bivalvia; Mytilida; Mytilidae
Source: RNAcentral